This 66-nucleotide transfer RNA is filed under the name Drawida japonica. RNAcentral's name for it is "tRNA-Tyr". Lineage: Eukaryota; Metazoa; Annelida; Clitellata; Moniligastrida; Moniligastridae. The record is from RNAcentral.
UACAAGAUGGUUGAGGUAUAAACUAUAAACUGUAAAUUUAUAAACGGAAGAAUAUUCCUCUUGUAU